UUUUACAGCGGAUGGUGGAUGCCUUGGGAGAUUGAGGCGAUGAAGGACGUGGCGUGCCUGCGAUAAGCCUCGGGGAGGUGGUUAGCAACCUUUGAUCCGGGGAUUUCCAAAUGGGGAAACCCGUUCCGAUGAUAAAUCGGAACACCCGACCCGAAAGGGUAAGGGGGCAAACCUGGGGAAGUGAAACAUCUCAGUACCCAGAGGAAUAGAGAAAAAAUUUUUACCCUUCAACAAGUUCAGGGUAAUCCUGAGCCUGCCGAAGGAUUAUUUCCUUAGUAGCGGCGAGCGAAAAGGAAAAAGCCCAAACCUACCAGUGCUUCGCACUGGAAAUUCCAAUUUCCAAAUCCCAAAUCACAAACAAAUCUUAAAUUCUAAAUUCCAAAUUCUAAACACGUUUUGGUUAUUAGAAUUUUGGUCAUUAGAUAUUGUUUGUAAUUUGGUGCUUGGUGCUUGGAGCUUCCACUGCGGAGCAGUGGUGGGGGUUGUAAGGAAAUGUCGUCGGGAGCUGACCGAAGCACAUAACGUUUUAUGUGCCUGGUCGGUUUCUGAGGGAGAACACCUAGAUAAGGGUUAGUUAGAAGAAAUACCCUGGAAAGGGAUACCAAAGAGGGUAAUAGUCCCGUAUUCGAAAACUCCUUUAUGCUCCUUGAUAUUUUUCUUGAGUACCAUGAGGACAAGAUAACCUUGUGGGAAGCAGGCCGGACUAACCGGCCAAGGCUAAAUACUCAAUCUCACCGAUAG
RNAcentral lists this ribosomal RNA (741 nucleotides) under Candidatus Nealsonbacteria bacterium CG_4_8_14_3_um_filter_40_11. RNAcentral describes it as "bacterial LSU rRNA". It matches the Rfam family "Bacterial large subunit ribosomal RNA", at positions 1 to 490 of the family's 2925-position model. The record is from RNAcentral. Lineage: Bacteria; Candidatus Nealsoniibacteriota.